Molecule: ribosomal RNA, 496 nt
Filed under: uncultured bacterium
Lineage: Bacteria
Description: partial 16S ribosomal RNA
Rfam family: Bacterial small subunit ribosomal RNA
Source: RNAcentral
GAUGAACGCUGGCGGCGUGCCUAAUACAUGCAAGUCGAGCGAACGGACGAGAAGCUUGCUUCUCUGAUGUUAGCGGCGGACGGGUGAGUAACACGUGGAUAACCUACCUAUAAGACUGGGAUAACUUCGGGAAACCGGAGCUAAUACCGGAUAAUAUUUUGAACCGCAUGGUUCAAAAGUGAAAGACGGUCUUGCUGUCACUUAUAGAUGGAUCCGCGCUGCAUUAGCUAGUUGGUAAGGUAACGGCUUACCAAGGCAACGAUGCAUAGCCGACCUGAGAGGGUGAUCGGCCACACUGGACCUGAGACACGGUCCAGACUCCUACGGGAGGCAGCAGUAGGGAAUCUUCCGCAAUGGGCGAAAGCCUGACGGAGCAACGCCGCGUGAGUGAUGAAGGUCUUCGGAUCGUAAAACUCUGUUAUUAGGGAAGAACAUAUGUGUAAGUAACUGUGCACAUCUUGACGGGACCUAAUCAGAAAGCCACGGCGAACUACGU